CGUCUUUCAGGCGUCCGAGUUGUAAUCUAUAGAGGCGUUUUCCGCGCCGGACCGCGUCCAAGUCUCUUGGAAUAGAGUAUCAAAGAGGGUGACAAUCCCGUACUUGACGCGACAACCGGUGCUCUGUGAUACGUUCUCAAUGAGUCGAGUUGUUUGGGAAUGCAGCUCUAAAUGGGUGGUAAAUUCCAUCUAAGGCUAAAUAUUGGCGAGAGACCGAUAGCGAACAAGUACCGUGAGGGAAAGAUGAAAAGCACUUUGGAAAGAGAGUUAAACAGCACGUGAAAUUGUUAAAAGGGAAACGAUUGAAGUCAGUCGUGUGAAAGGUAUUCAGCCGUCUCUGGCGGUGUAUUUGCCUUUCACGGGUCAACAUCAGUUUGAUCCGGUAGAAAAAGGCGGGAGGAAGGUGGCACCCUCGGGUGUGUUAUAGCCUCCUGUCAUAUGU
This 442-nucleotide ribosomal RNA is filed under the name Vishniacozyma victoriae. RNAcentral describes it as "partial large subunit ribosomal RNA". It matches the Rfam family "Eukaryotic large subunit ribosomal RNA", at positions 125 to 574 of the family's 3401-position model. The record is from RNAcentral. Lineage: Eukaryota; Fungi; Basidiomycota; Tremellomycetes; Tremellales; Bulleribasidiaceae.